UACGUAGGGUGCAAGCGUUAAUCGGAAUUACUGGGCGUAAAGCGUACGCAGGCGGCUUUGCAAGACAGGUGUGAAAUCCCCGGGCCUAACCUGGGAACUGCAUUUGUGACUGCAUAGCUAGAGUUUGUCAGAGGGGGGUGGAAUUCCACGUGUAGCAGUGAAAUGCGUAGAUAUGUGGAGGAACACCGAUGGCGAAGGCAGCCCCCUGGGAUGUGACUGACGCUCAUGUACGAGAGCGUGGGGAGCAAACAGG
RNAcentral lists this ribosomal RNA (253 nucleotides) under uncultured bacterium. Its description in RNAcentral is "partial 16S ribosomal RNA". It matches the Rfam family "Bacterial small subunit ribosomal RNA", at positions 524 to 776 of the family's 1533-position model. The record is from RNAcentral.